This 254-nucleotide ribosomal RNA is filed under the name uncultured bacterium. RNAcentral describes it as "partial 16S ribosomal RNA". It matches the Rfam family "Bacterial small subunit ribosomal RNA", at positions 524 to 776 of the family's 1533-position model. The record is from RNAcentral.
CACGUAGGGUGCGAGCGUUGUCCGGAAUUAUUGGGCGUAAAGAGCUCGUAGGCGGUGUGUCGCGUCGGCCGUGAAAACCUGCAGCUUAACUGUGGGCUUGCGGUCGAUACGGGCAUCACUGGAGUUCGGCAGGGGAGACUGGAAUUCCUGGUGUAGCGGUGAAAUGCGCAGAUAUCAGGAGGAACACCGGUGGCGAAGGCGGCAUCCUGGACCAAUUCUGACACUGAGGAGCGAAAGCCAGGGGAGCAAACGGG